This 471-nucleotide ribosomal RNA is filed under the name uncultured Acidovorax sp. RNAcentral describes it as "bacterial SSU rRNA". It matches the Rfam family "Bacterial small subunit ribosomal RNA", at positions 907 to 1382 of the family's 1533-position model. The record is from RNAcentral. Lineage: Bacteria; Pseudomonadati; Pseudomonadota; Betaproteobacteria; Burkholderiales; Comamonadaceae.
GAAUUGACGGGACCGCACAAGCGGUGGAUGAUGUGGUUUAAUUCGAUGCAACGCGAAAACCUUACCACCUUUGACAUGUACGGAAUCCUUUAGAGAUAGAGGAGUGCUCGAAAGAGAGCCGUAACACAGGUGCUGCAUGGCUGUCGUCAGCUCGUGUCGUGAGAUGUUGGGUUAAGUCCCGCAACGAGCGCAACCCUUGUCAUUAGUUGCUACAUUCAGUUGGGCACUCUAAUGAGACUGCCGGUGACAAACCGGAGGAAGGUGGGGAUGACGUCAAGUCCUCAUGGCCCUUAUAGGUGGGGCUACACACGUCAUACAAUGGAUGGUACAAAGGGUCGCCAACCCGCGAGGGGGAGCCAAUCCCAUAAAGCCAUUCGUAGUCCGGAUCGCAGUCUGCAACUCGACUGCGUGAAGUCGGAAUCGCUAGUAAUCGUGGAUCAGAAUGUCACGGUGAAUACGUUCCCGGGUCUU